This 484-nucleotide ribosomal RNA is filed under the name uncultured bacterium. RNAcentral's name for it is "partial 16S ribosomal RNA". It matches the Rfam family "Bacterial small subunit ribosomal RNA", at positions 28 to 507 of the family's 1533-position model. The record is from RNAcentral.
AUUGAACGCUGGCGGCAUGCUUUACACAUGCAAGUCGAGCGGCAGCGCGGGCUUCGGCCUGGCGGCGAGUGGCGAACGGGUGAGUAAUGCAUCGGAACGUGCCCAGUAGUGGGGGAUAGCCCGGCGAAAGCCGGAUUAAUACCGCAUACGACCUGAGGGUGAAAGCGGGGGACCGAAAGGCCUCGCGCCAUUGGAGCGGCCGAUGUCGGAUUAGCUAGUUGGUGGGGUAAAGGCUUACCAAGGCGACGAUCCGUAGCUGGUCUGAGAGGACGACCAGCCACACUGGGACUGAGACACGGCCCAGACUCCUACGGGAGGCAGCAGUGGGGAAUUUUGGACAAUGGGGGCAACCCUGAUCCAGCCAUGCCGCGUGCGGGAAGAAGGCCUUCGGGUUGUAAACCGCUUUUGUUCGGGAAGAAAUCCUCUGGGCUAAUACCCCGGGGGGAUGACGGUACCGGAAGAAUAAGCACCGGCUAACUACGUG